This 66-nucleotide transfer RNA is filed under the name Lithax obscurus. Its description in RNAcentral is "tRNA-Cys". The record is from RNAcentral. Lineage: Eukaryota; Metazoa; Arthropoda; Insecta; Trichoptera; Goeridae.
AGUUUUAUAUUCAAUAUAUGAUUUUAAAUUGCAAAUUUAAAGUAGUAAAUUAUUUUACUAAAGCUU